GCGAGCGGGAAGAGCUCAAAUUUAUAAUCUGGCACCUUCGGUGUCCGAGUUGUAAUCUCUAGAAGUGUUUUCCGCGUUGGACCGCACACAAGUCUGUUGGAAUACAGCGGCAUAGUGGUGAAACCCCCGUAUAUGGUGCGGACGCCCAGCGCUUUGUGAUACACUUUCAAUGAGUCGAGUUGUUUGGGAAUGCAGCUCAAAUUGGGUGGUAAAUUCCAUCUAAAGCUAAAUAUUGGCGAGAGACCGAUAGCGAACAAGUACCGUGAGGGAAAGAUGAAAAGCACUUUGGAAAGAGAGUUAACAGUACGUGAAAUUGUUGGAAGGGAAACGCUUGAAGUCAGACUUGCUUGCCGGAGCUUGCUUCGGUUUGCAGGCCAGCAUCAGUUUUCCGGGGUGGAUAAUGACGGUUUGAAGGUAGCAGUCUCGGCUGUGUUAUAGCUUUCCGUUGGAUACAUCCUGGGGGACUGAGGAACGCAGCGUGCUUUUUGCGAAAGACUCGUCUUUUUCACGCUUAGGAU
This 518-nucleotide ribosomal RNA is filed under the name Rhodotorula glutinis. RNAcentral describes it as "partial large subunit ribosomal RNA". It matches the Rfam family "Eukaryotic large subunit ribosomal RNA", at positions 93 to 617 of the family's 3401-position model. The record is from RNAcentral. Lineage: Eukaryota; Fungi; Basidiomycota; Microbotryomycetes; Sporidiobolales; Sporidiobolaceae.